This 416-nucleotide long non-coding RNA is filed under the name Vigna radiata. RNAcentral's name for it is "long non-coding RNA (VRAD_LNC001489)". The record is from RNAcentral. Lineage: Eukaryota; Viridiplantae; Streptophyta; Magnoliopsida; Fabales; Fabaceae.
ACCGAACAGUUGUGACCUGUAGAAAAAUAUUCUGACCGACGCUCAAAUCAGCAAGAUCACAAGAAGAUUGAUAUGUAUAUGAUUAGAUCGAAAGUACAUUACCUGAUUGUUAACUCUGUAUUUAUAGACAUUAAGUUCAAUAAUUGACAUUAAGUAUCUGUAAAUAUUAUAUCUUUUUUUUCUCCUUUCAUAAUAUUCACCAAUUAAAGUCUUUAAUUGUCUUUCAAUACUGUCUUUAACGCUUCAUCACCGUUCAACCGCCUAUCUACACUUCUUCAAUUUCAAGCGACCGAUCUCUUAUUGUCUCCACCCUGAUCGAUCGGCCGCCUCCCUCCUCACACACAUAUGCUAUUAUAAUUAAGAUUUUAAUAUUUAAAUAUACCUUUUUAAUAACAUUUUUUUCUCUUUUAAUAUUU